AGGCGAGACGGGAUCGGUCAUGCUGGGUGGUUGCUGCUCGGCCCCUGCGCCGGUUGGUUUGGGAGCAGCAGCGGCUUCGUGAUGUAGGCACACAAUGCCCACUGAUGAGCUUUGCCUAGUUGACAAAUACCACUUUACAAGAAGUUGAUACGACAGUUCUUGAAUGUGGAGAAAAUUGGUCUGAAUGAAUAGAAGACUACAGUUUCUGUACAUAUGGCCUGUGUACUAUGAUUUGUACAGAAUUUCUGCAGCUCAAGUUUGGCAGCUUUUCUUCCACCAGAAGAGUGUUCUGGAAGAAAUAUACAGGUUUUAUCUUCACAGGAUCUUUCAAGUAAAUUUCUUACACUGGUACUGUCACAGUAUGCCUUUUUCCG
Molecule: long non-coding RNA, 374 nt
Filed under: Chelonoidis abingdonii (Abingdon island giant tortoise)
Lineage: Eukaryota; Metazoa; Chordata; Testudines; Testudinidae
Description: lncRNA (ENSCABG00000011216.1)
Source: RNAcentral